Molecule: ribosomal RNA, 465 nt
Filed under: Vreelandella stevensii
Lineage: Bacteria; Pseudomonadati; Pseudomonadota; Gammaproteobacteria; Oceanospirillales; Halomonadaceae
Description: partial 16S ribosomal RNA
Rfam family: Bacterial small subunit ribosomal RNA
Source: RNAcentral
CCUACGGGGGGCUGCAGUGGGGAAUAUUGGACAAUGGGGGGCACCCUGAUCCAGCCAUGCCGCGUGUGUGAAGAAGGCCCUCGGGUUGUAAAGCACUUUCAGUGAGGAAGAACGCCUGGUGGUUAAUACCCAUCAGGAAAGACAUCACUCACAGAAGAAGCACCGGCUAACUCCGUGCCAGCAGCCGCGGUAAUACGGAGGGUGCGAGCGUUAAUCGGAAUUACUGGGCGUAAAGCGCGCGUAGGUGGCUUGAUAAGCCGGUUGUGAAAGCCCCGGGCUCAACCUGGGAACGGCAUCCGGAACUGUCAAGCUAGAGUGCAGGAGAGGAAGGUAGAAUUCCCGGUGUAGCGGUGAAAUGCGUAGAGAUCGGGAGGAAUACCAGUGGCGAAGGCGGCCUUCUGGACUGACACUGACACUGAGGUGCGAAAGCGUGGGUAGCAAACAGGAUUAGAUACCCUUGUAGUC